Long non-coding RNA from Hemicordylus capensis (graceful crag lizard), 270 nucleotides. RefSeq lists it as uncharacterized. The record is from RefSeq and is a predicted model, not a curated record. The transcript is spliced from 3 exons. Lineage: Eukaryota; Metazoa; Chordata; Lepidosauria; Squamata; Cordylidae.
CUCAAGGUGUGGACGAUGCAGCAGAAGAAGAAGCAUCUCACAGAGGCAGCUUGCAUGGCAAAGCAGUUGUGCUCCUCUAAAUAUACAAUUAAGUGGUAAGGCUGCCAGGAAGGAGGAAGUGUAACCACUGGUGGUCACCGCCAACAUGGAGUGAUAGAAUCUUGGAUACUACAUCACUUCCCCUGAGAUUUUCAGAUGUUACAUCACUUUUCUUCAAUGAUUGCCUGUGAGUGCAAUUUCCAGGUUACUUAAAAAAUAAUAAUUUAAAAG